Long non-coding RNA from Phyllopteryx taeniolatus (common seadragon), 4496 nucleotides. RefSeq lists it as uncharacterized. The transcript has 5 exons. Lineage: Eukaryota; Metazoa; Chordata; Actinopteri; Syngnathiformes; Syngnathidae. The record is from RefSeq and is a predicted model, not a curated record.
AGCGAGCGCAGGAGCGCCGUUCCCCAGUGUGUGUGCGCGCGCGUGUGUUCGUGUGUCGGCGGGGAGAGCGGAAACAUGUGAUGGCGCAACUUUGGCUCGGGGACUUUUAACGGCUGCGGCGUCUCCGGAGCGCUGAGCUUCGAAGCACCUUUAGCCCAGAGGGACACGCGCGCGCACACGCACACGCGCGCGCGCACGCACGCAUAUACUGUGUGUGUGUGUGUGUGUGUGCGCGUCAAUGUGAGCCUGUUACUGAUUACACUUGGAAGAAUGCAACAGCAGGAAUAAAAGGCAGACGGGCAAAAGUUUCAAGAGCGACGCCGGGAUCCCGCUCGGAGGCAGAGGAUCACGGGACCGCGCCGGGGCAGGAUGAACGCGGAGGGGCGGGGGCCCCCCGGGGGGGGGCGGCCCGGGACCGAAAGUGGCCAAGAGGAAAAAGCUCGGGUCGACGCGGUCGAGCUUCUUCCAGAGGUUCCGUGAAGGGAACCGUACAUCGGACUCGGCCUUCGACGGAGAUAGCUUUGCAGUUCAUUUCACAUUUGCGCAAAAACGCUGGGAGGAGAAGAUGCGAAAGGUGUCGACGAGUCGAGCACGGCCCGGAGACAAAUCGUUUUCGUCUGCAAACCGGCAUCGUUGAGCAUCACCGUGACGACGCUUAACUGGCACAGGUGACGAGCAACCAGUGCGCCAUCGCCAUUCGCUAUCUGCGAUCCAGCUGACCUCCGACCUUGCUGACACACCCUCUUUGACUGUGCUGUAACUAACCUAUUGCACUUCACACCUCCUCACCUCACAUUUUGUACAUUUUGUGAACUUUGGAGGUUUUUUUUUUGUCUGUGUGUGUGGCAUUUCCCCUUCCAAAGCAAGAAAUUCAAUCACAGUUCUUCGCUUCCCUCAGGCAUCCGACAAUGACCUCAUUUUCAAAAUGGCUGACAGGAAGAGGGCAGGAUUAAAUAAGAGGUUUUUUAAAUCAGCCUUAAAACAAAUUUUUAUUCUACAAACUGAACAUUUAUGAAAAAAGGAUCCAUUAUUAGGAGGCUAAAUUCAAUUGGGCUCAUUACGUUAUAGAUGAUACAUUUUUUAGAAAUGAAUUGAAAAAAUUCAUCGUUCCAGCGGCGGCACGGGGGCCGACCGGUUAGAGCGUCAGCCUCACAGUUCUGAGGUGCGGGGUUCGAUCCCCGGCCCCGCCUGUGUGGAGUUUGCAUGUUCUCCCCGUGCCUGCGUGGCUUUUCUCCGGGCACAUCCCCAAAACAUGCAUGAAUUGGAGACUCUAAAUUGCCCGUAGGGCGCGACUGUGCAUGCCAAUGGUUGUUUGUUUGUAUGUGCCCUGCGAUUGGCUGGCAACCGGUUCAGGGUGUACCCCGCCUCUCACCCGGUGACGGCUGGGCUAAGCGCCAGCUCGCCCGCGAUCCCAGUGCGGAGAAGCGGCUCAGAAAACGGAUGGAUGGAUGGAUGGCAUUGUUCCGGCGUUUCUUAAGUGGCACAUGUUUAAAAAGUCAGGUCAGGUCCUGUUCCUGUGCUUAAAAUGAUUCAGCAAAUAAAACGGAAAAAGAUGCGCAUGAUCCAAAUAGUAAACAUGCUUGACCACAUCCUUACAUAAACAAUCUUUCACAUUGUGAGCGUGCUACAUUGAUGACACACAAUGACUCAUCAAACAUGGCGCUGACAUUUUCCAGAUAAUCAGAUGGUGCCUGCGCGUGGGCGUGUAUCUGUUCCACUUUCACCGAAUCUCAAAAACACUCCAAAAGCCCCACGGGUCGAUGAAGGAAAUACGCACUGUAAUUGGAGGACAGAAGAUUUCCAUCUGCAUGUCACAUGCACGUGAGGUUCAUCGACGACUAAAUUGUCCCUAGGUGUCCGUUCGUUUUCAGUAACGCUUCUCUGGCGCCUAUCCCAGCUGACUCAACUGGUCGCCAACCAAUCGCAGGACACAUAGAAACAAACAACCAUUCACACCUCCGGCCAAUUUACAGUCUUCAAUCAACCUAGCGUGCAUGUUUUUGGGAUGUGGGAGGAAAGCGGAGUGCCCGGAGAAAAGCCACGCGGGCACGGACGGGGAGAACAUGCAAACUCCACACAGGCGAGGCCGGAUUUGAACCCGCAACCUCGCAACUGCCAUUUUCAACACCGCUUAUCCCGGACUACGCCCUCAAUUGGUCGCCAGUCAGUCGCAGGGCACCUCUCGACACGGACAACAACUCGCACUCGCAGUCACACCGUCACUGAGUGGGAACUGCACCGAAGUCAGGCUACUGAAACAAAUCCAAUAAAAGUAAUUUCUUCAGACGUUCUACGCCCCGCAACCCGUUUGUGACAAACCACAGGCAAGUAAACGGAUUUCACUCGCGACAUCAAAACAAAUGAUUGGAAGUCUAACUCACCAUCGCAGCAGUUUUGUGAGCGGCGCUUUCGGACACGCCCCAAGCCGCCCAGCGGCUUGUUUGAAGCCGAAAUGCUCCUCGCAGGUGAAAGAAAGUCUGCGUGCUAAUAUGAUCUUUUGAUGUUCGCCCGUAGGCGUCAGACGGCAGGGACACUUUACGGCCGUUGGGUAGGCGCUCGGCGUACACGAGGGCCGUCACCCGCCGUCGGGGAAGUUCAAGUAAGUGAAUCCAAACCUGCGAUAUGAUCGUCCACCGAUAGAAAGUGUGGAUGGACGCCUAUGAAAGUCACAUUUUAUGCAAAUCACUGCAAACAACAAGCACAAUAAGCAACAUUUGGCUGAAUGUCCGUGCCAAUCGAAUGUUUGCAUCUUGAUAAAACAAUAUCAAAUUUGACUAUCGGAUUCCACCGACGCUAAAACGCGAAGUGAUGUCACGACGUCAUGCGUCCUCUGACUAAAGACGGUGACCUUCGUCACUGUGAGAGUGCCGAUAUUUCGGCUGAGGUUCAACGUCGCCCCUUUAUGUCAGCCCCCCCAAAACUUCCCGGCGGGGAGCGCGACCCUCCGACCGCCGAGGUCGACGACGCGCUCCUCGGAUUGCGUCGAGGCCGAAGCGCUGCGGCAAAGCGCUGAUGCCGCAGGAACGGAGAGCGGAAGAGGCGGCACGUCAGCUGUCAGUGUCGGACAGAUGGACGGGCAGGCCGCGACCUCGUGUCAUGUGACACGGGACACCGGCAGGUCGUCAUGGAGACGCAUUGCACGGACUGCACAAUGACGAAAUGGAAACGGAGAGCGCCGCGCGACACAAGGUAUUCGUGCGUGCGUACGACUGCGCUGACGCGUGUAACUUUGUCUCCAACAACGGCUGCCGUGGCCGUCACGGGACGAUCAAGCGCAAGAUUUGUCCGAGCGUAUCGCGUCCAAAUGGACGGCAGAAAGGACUCAAGUUCAAGCAAUUGGACAAAACUCUCAUAAUAAAUCCUGUCAAUAGUACAACAGAUUGUGGAAAAAAAAGAAUCAUUUCAUUGUAAUUUGGCAAAAAGAAAGUCAUCGUAUUAUGGGGAGGAUUCUUUAGUCUCGUGGGUCCUAUUUUUUCUUUUCAGCGUCACGCUAAGCUUUCAUCGUAUUCAGCUAAUGUUAGUAUGCUAAUUACUUGAUUCGCAUAAGAUGACAACUUCUUCUCGACACAUUGAGCUUGUUUGUAUUUUGGAAACAUUCCGACUUUCUCUUUGCCUCCGGUUUAGCAUCCAGCUAACAUAGCCAGCCAGCAAAAACGCAGCCAAUUACGAGUUAGCUUCUUAGAAAGCUAAUUUGCCAGCAUUAGCUGAUUUUAUGAUGUGUAACCGUUUCAAUUGAAGAAUGAUCUCAGACAUCCACUUUCAUUUACUGCUCGUAACGUUCGCUCGUGGUCGCUCGUGCUUUGCAGGCCGAAGUGCUCGCGUCCCUGUCGCCGCCAUCGCUUCACUCUAACCUCACGCUUUUCUUUGGCGGCGCCCGGCUUCCAAACGAGGACCAUGGCCCCGUCUUUGUGUGCGUGUGGGUGUUUGUGUGUCUUUGGUUUGGAAAUUGUUUGUCGCCUAAGAACAGGGCGCACAAACAAACAUGCUUUUUGUGCAAAGACACAAAAACAGCAAGAGCGAUGUACACAAAGUGUGUGUGUGUGUUUUCACUAAUAAGCUGCAUAUUCUUCAUUGACAGAGGACAGCGCAACCUGACGUUGCAUAAGCGCUACACAAGCUGAACGGAAAGUGCCGCUAAGCACUCGGCUGUGGUGUGACAUGCGGGGACCGCAAAAGUUCCACAGGUGUCCAUACGGGCGGGGAAGAACCAUCCCGUUUGAACUCCAGCAGCGUCACACUGGCGCCGAUGUCAUCGUUGGCGGUGGGAGGGACCAGCGAGGCUGCUGACCGAAACAGGAUCACAUUUACAACAUCAAUUCCAUUGUGCUAUGAAUGAAUUCCCAACUGUCUGUUUCUUCAUUUUGCUUUCACCCUUUUUUUUUUCUGUCCAAUCAUAUUGUGAUGUCAAUCUAAUUAGGCCAGCGCCUUCCGAAUCUGUACUCUGUAAUCUGUAAUGUAGUUGCCUACAAUUACAAAUUAGCCUGUUGAAAAUGUCA